RNAcentral lists this ribosomal RNA (776 nucleotides) under uncultured Neocallimastigales. Its description in RNAcentral is "partial large subunit ribosomal RNA". It matches the Rfam family "Eukaryotic large subunit ribosomal RNA", at positions 23 to 621 of the family's 3401-position model. The record is from RNAcentral. Lineage: Eukaryota; Fungi; Neocallimastigomycota; Neocallimastigomycetes; Neocallimastigales.
GAGACUCUGUGCGCGUGCAUAUCAAUAAGCGGAGGAAAAGAAACUAACAAGGAUUCCCUUAGUAACGGCGAGUGAAGCGGGAAGAGCUCAAAUUUGAAAUCUUCAAGGUUUUACCUUGACGAAUUGUAGUUUAAAGAAGUGUUUUCUGUUGGAGUUUUGGUAAAAGUUCUUUGGAAUAGGACAUCAUAGAGGGUGAGAAUCCCGUAUUUGACCAUUAUUUCCAGCUGUGUGAUACACUUUCAAAGAGUCGGAUUGUUUGGGAAUGCAGUCCAAAAUGGGUGGUAAAUUUCAUCUAAAGCUAAAUACUGGCGAGAGACCGAUAGCGAACAAGUACCGUGAGGGAAAGAUGAAAAGAACUUUGAAAAGAGAGUUAAACAGUACGUGAAAUUGUCAAAAGGGAAGCGUUUGACACCAGUGUUGUUUUUCCGAAAAUCAAUUACGAAUGUUUUGUUUUUGAGGAGUUAUGACUUCAUCGGCUUGCUCCUUUCUUUAUGAAACUUUCUUAAUGCACUUUUCGGUUAACAAGUCAACAUCAAUUUCUUUUGUUGUAAAAGGGUAUGAGGAAGGUGGCUUUCUUUUCGGAGAAAGUGUUUAUAGCCUUGUACCUCUGCAAUCGGAGAGAUUGAGGUCUGCAGCGUAGAUCCUUCGGGGUUAGAUACAUUUGUGCUAAGUUAUAGCUUGUCAUAGACAACUUGUUGACUAUGUUCAGUCAUUGUAGCUUACUCGCUUACUGCUAUUUUACCUACGCUUAGGAUGUUGAACUCUAUCACACACAG